Molecule: ribosomal RNA, 468 nt
Filed under: uncultured bacterium
Lineage: Bacteria
Description: partial 16S ribosomal RNA
Rfam family: Bacterial small subunit ribosomal RNA
Source: RNAcentral
GACGAACGCUGGCGGCGUGCUAAACACAUGCCAGUCGAACGGAAAGGCCCUGCUUUUGUGGGGUGCUCGAGUGGCGAACGGGUGAGUAACACGUGAGUAACCUGCCCUUGACUUUGGGAUAACUUCAGGAAACUGGGGCUAAUACCGGAUAGGAGCUCCUGCUGCAUGGUGGGGGUUGGAAAGUUUCGGCGGUUGGGGAUGGACUCGCGGCUUAUCAGCUUGUUGGUGGGGUAGUGGCUUACCAAGGCUUUGACGGGUAGCCGGCCUGAGAGGGUGACCGGCCACAUUGGGACUGAGAUACGGCCCAGACUCCUACGGGAGGCAGCAGUGGGGAAUAUUGCACAAUGGGCGGAAGCCUGAUGCAGCAACGCCGCGUGCGGGAUGACGGCCUUCGGGUUGUAAACCGCUUUCGCCUGUGACGAAGCGUGAGUGACGGUAAUGGGUAAAGAAGCACCGGCUAACUACGUG